GGGCCCGCACAAGCAGUGGAGCAUGUGGUUUAAUUCGAUGCAACGCGAAGAACCUUACCUGGGCUUGAAAUUCUACUGACAGGGGAUGAAAGUCCCUUUUCCUUCGGGACAGUAGAACAGGUGCUGCAUGGCUGUCGUCAGCUCGUGCCGUGAGGUGUUGGGUUAAGUCUCGCAACGAGCGCAACCCCUACCGUUAGUUGCUACCGGGUCGAGCCGGGCACUUUAGCGGAACUGCCUGCGCAAGCAGAGAGGAAGGUGGGGAUGACGUCAAGUCCGCAUGGCCCUUAUGUCCAGGGCUACACACGUGCUACAAUGGUGAAGAACAGCGAGUUCCGAAGCCGCGAGGCGGGGGUAAUCUCUGAAAUUUCACCUCAGUUCAGAUUGGAGUCUGCAACUCGACUCCAUGAAGCUGGAAUUGCUAGUAAUCGCGCAUCAGCAUGGCGCGGUGAAUACGUUCCCGGGCCUU
Molecule: ribosomal RNA, 466 nt
Filed under: uncultured bacterium
Lineage: Bacteria
Description: bacterial SSU rRNA
Rfam family: Bacterial small subunit ribosomal RNA
Source: RNAcentral